This 494-nucleotide ribosomal RNA is filed under the name uncultured bacterium. Its description in RNAcentral is "partial 16S ribosomal RNA". It matches the Rfam family "Bacterial small subunit ribosomal RNA", at positions 28 to 507 of the family's 1533-position model. The record is from RNAcentral.
GACGAACGCUGGCGGCGUGCUUAACACAUGCAAGUCGAACGGUGAAGCGCCUUCCUUUUUGGUGGGUGUGGAUGAGUGGCGAACGGGUGAGUAACACGUGAGUAACCUGCCCCCUUCUUCUGGAUAACCGCAUGAAAGUGUGGCUAAUACGGGAUAUUCUGGGUCUGUCGCAUGAUGGGUCUGGGAAAGAUAUUGUUUCGGUGGGGGAUGGGCUCGCGGCCUAUCAGCUUGUUGGUGGGGUGAUGGCCUACCAAGGCGGUGACGGGUAGCCGGCCUGAGAGGGUGGACGGUCACACUGGGACUGAGACACGGACCAGACUCCUACGGGAGGCAGCAGUGGGGAAUAUUACACAAUGGGCGCAAGCCUGAUGCAACGACGCCGCGUGAGGGAUGGAGGCCUUCGGGUUGUGAACCUCUUUCGCCAGUGAAGCAGGCCUGCCUCGUUUGUGGGUGGGUUGACGGUAGCUGGAUAAGAAGCGCCGGCUAACUACGUG